RNAcentral lists this unclassified non-coding RNA (315 nucleotides) under plant metagenome. Its description in RNAcentral is "partial contains small subunit ribosomal RNA, internal transcribed spacer 1, and 5.8S ribosomal RNA". The record is from RNAcentral.
UUUCCGUAGGUGAACCUGCGGAAGGAUCAUUAACACGAACAAAAUGUUCCAAAACCUUUUUGGAUCAACGCCAACCUUUGAAAAGGCGAACCUAGUUGUAUUUUUCUCCUUUUUCUAUUUUGUUUUUCUCAAACGCAACUUCUCAUGGAAAUUGACUAGAAUCGUGUGAUUUGUUCCAAUCCUAUCACCUCUUUCUCCUCUCCUCUCCUCUCCUCGUGAGAUGAGAUGGGAUGUGAGAUGGGAGAUGGGGGGUGGGUUUGGAACUAACCAUUCCUAACGCUAAAACAACUCUUAACAACGGAUAUCUUGGCUCUC